RNAcentral lists this ribosomal RNA (801 nucleotides) under Salmonella enterica. RNAcentral's name for it is "partial 23S ribosomal RNA". It matches the Rfam family "Bacterial large subunit ribosomal RNA", at positions 2133 to 2925 of the family's 2925-position model. Lineage: Bacteria; Pseudomonadati; Pseudomonadota; Gammaproteobacteria; Enterobacterales; Enterobacteriaceae. RNAcentral also lists the same sequence under 1 other name. The record is from RNAcentral.
GAUGUGUAGGAUAGGUGGGAGGCUUUGAAGUGUGGACGCCAGUCUGCAUGGAGCCGACCUUGAAAUACCACCCUUUAAUGUUUGAUGUUCUAACGUGGACCCGUGAUCCGGGUUGCGGACAGUGUCUGGUGGGUAGUUUGACUGGGGCGGUCUCCUCCUAAAGAGUAACGGAGGAGCACGAAGGUUGGCUAAUCCUGGUCGGACAUCAGGAGGUUAGUGCAAUGGCAUAAGCCAGCUUGACUGCGAGCGUGACGGCGCGAGCAGGUGCGAAAGCAGGUCAUAGUGAUCCGGUGGUUCUGAAUGGAAGGGCCAUCGCUCAACGGAUAAAAGGUACUCCGGGGAUAACAGGCUGAUACCGCCCAAGAGUUCAUAUCGACGGCGGUGUUUGGCACCUCGAUGUCGGCUCAUCACAUCCUGGGGCUGAAGUAGGUCCCAAGGGUAUGGCUGUUCGCCAUUUAAAGUGGUACGCGAGCUGGGUUUAGAACGUCGUGAGACAGUUCGGUCCCUAUCUGCCGUGGGCGCUGGAGAACUGAGGGGGGCUGCUCCUAGUACGAGAGGACCGGAGUGGACGCAUCACUGGUGUUCGGGUUGUCAUGCCAAUGGCACUGCCCGGUAGCUAAAUGCGGAAGAGAUAAGUGCUGAAAGCAUCUAAGCACGAAACUUGCCCCGAGAUGAGUUCUCCCUGAGACUUUAGGUCUCCUGAAGGAACGUUGAAGACGACGACGUUGAUAGGCCGGGUGUGUAAGCGCAGCGAUGCGUUGAGCUAACCGGUACUAAUGAACCGUGAGGCUUAACCUUACA